Molecule: long non-coding RNA, 204 nt
Organism: Rhineura floridana
Lineage: Eukaryota; Metazoa; Chordata; Lepidosauria; Squamata; Rhineuridae
Exons: 3
Source: RefSeq, a predicted model, not a curated record
GGGAACAGUAACAUUAACAAUACAAUUCUAUGCACGCCUACUCAUUAGGAAGCCUCAUUGAGUUCAACAGAUUUAUUCGCUGUCUUGAAGAUGAACAUUGUGUUCAGGACAACAGAGAGAAUGCCAAAUAGGAUUCCCCAGUUUGAAGAUGAGUGUCAUAGAGCAAUAUGAAGAAUGAGAGGAGGCCUGCAUGUAAAUUCUUAC